CGAGUCCGUGUACGUCAUAGGCGGCCGGCUCUGCCGGAGGGAGCGUGGAGCCGCGGCCGGCGGCUACCGCGACGCCGACGUCGGCGUGAGGGCAGACGUACUGCGGUACGACGCGCGCCGGGGGGAGUGGCACCACUGCGCGCCGCUCCUGGUCCCGCGGUUCGACUUCGCGUGCGCUCCGUGCCGGGGCAGGAUCUGCGUGGCCGGCGGGCAGCGCUCGCUGUCCGGCGCCCGGGGCACGGCGGCGGCCGAGGUGUACGACGCGGAGAAGGGGCAGUGGUCGGCGCUCCCCGACAUGAGCACGCUGCGCUACAAGUGCGUCGGCGUCACGUGGCAGGGCAGCUUCCACGUCGUGGGGGGCUUUGCGGAGAGCGCGCUGACGGCCUGCGACACCUCCCUCCUGGCGCCCGGCGGAGCCACCGCCGUGCUGCAGUCGUCGGCGCUGGAGCGGAGCUCGGCCGAGGUGUUCCACUGCGCGAGGGGCACGUGGGAGAUCCUCCCGGGGAUGUGGCAGCUCGACGUGCCCCCGAACCAGAUCGUGGCGGUGGCCAACAGGCUGUUCAGCUCCGGCGACUGCCUCACCAGCUGGAAGGGACACGUCGAGGUCUACGACGGCGAGCUCAACAUCUGGAGCAUCGUGGACCACUCCGCCCUGCCCGACCUGUCGCUGCUCGCCAGUCUCCCGUCUUCAGCUCAGCGGCUCUACCUCACCAUGGCCGUCGUCGGCACGCAGCUCUAUUUCCUCGCCGGCUACCAGGUGCCGUCGGGCGACGACAGCUUCCGAACAGUCUCGCUAGUGCACAGCUUCGACACCAGCGCUGCACCGGGGCUGGCGCCGGCGUGGAGCAGCUUCCGGCCCGAGAUGAGUCACGAGGACGCCGAGGACGGCGGCAAGGAGCUGUUCAGCCAGUGCUGCACGGUGCAGCUCUCCAACUAAUCGUAAUUACAGAAUUACAGUCUCAGUCUUCCAAUCCAAUCACAGCAUAUGCAUCAUGGUUCUGAAACUUUUCUGAUCACAGCAUCAUGCAUUGUGUCUCAUCUACAGACUUGUGCUCCUGUGGUGAAUCUGUUUGAUACUUUGAUCCAUACAAAACAAUCUGCAUGAGAAAAUGUG
This 1114-nucleotide unclassified non-coding RNA is filed under the name Zea mays. Its description in RNAcentral is "misc RNA Zm00001eb192010". The record is from RNAcentral. Lineage: Eukaryota; Viridiplantae; Streptophyta; Magnoliopsida; Poales; Poaceae.